UGGGCAACAAUAGCAAAACUCUGUCUCAAAAAACAAAAUAAAACAAACAAACAAAACUUUAUAGUGAGAAAUUAAGGAUGACUAUUUAAAUGAAAUUACUCUCCUGACCUCGUGAUCUGCCUGCCUCUGCCUCCCAAAGUGCUGGGACUAUAGGCGUGAGCCGCUGUGCCCGACCUAAAGGUUUUUUUUUAAAGUCCCUUUUUUGGUGGUUGUGGUGGUAGUAAGAACACUAAACAUGAGAUUUUUAAGUGUACAAUAGAGUAUUGUUAACUACAGGCACAAUGUUAUGCAACAGACCUCUAGAACUUUCUCAUCUUGCGUAACUGACUUUAUACUAAUUAAUUAGCAUCUCCCCAUUUCCCCACCCCCCCAGCCCCUGGUAACCAUUUUAUUCUUUGCUUCAGUGAGUUUGACUAUUUUAGAUACCUCACAUAAAUGAUCAUGCAGUAUGUCCUUACCUGAAAGUUGGUUCUUUUUUCCAUCUUCUGAAUGUUAAGUAGAAUAACUUAGGAAAUUUUGAAAUAAAGCCAACUAUAACUCCAGACAUUAAUAACAAACAGCUUUCUAUAAAAUGUCUCUUCCUAUAAAGUAUUUUAAAACCAGUUUGUUUCCUUUCCAACACUGUGUGUGUGUGUGUAUUUAUAUAUAUUUUAUUAUUAUUAUUAUUUUUCAGAUGGAGUCUCGCUCUUGUUGCCUAGGCUGAAGUGCAGUGGCACGAUCUCGGCUCACUGCAGCCUCCGCCUCCCGGGUUCAAGCGAUUCUCCUGCCUCAGCCUCCCAAGUGGCUGGAAUUACAGAGAAAGGAGUGGAAGAUUUGGACACAGACACACAGAGAAGAGGUCAAAGUGAAGACAGAACCAGAGAUUGGAGUUUUGCUGCCAUAAGCCAAGAAACCAAGAGCCAAGAAACACCAGAAGGUAGGAGAAAGGCAAGGAAGAACUUCCCCUCUAAAGCCUUCAAAGAAAAUAUAACCCUGCCAGCACCUUGAUUUCAGACUUCUGGCUCCAGAACUGUGAGAGAAUAAACUUCUGUUGUUUUAAGCUA
Gorilla gorilla gorilla (western lowland gorilla) is the source of this 1043-nucleotide long non-coding RNA. RefSeq lists it as uncharacterized. Lineage: Eukaryota; Metazoa; Chordata; Mammalia; Primates; Hominidae. The record is from RefSeq and is a predicted model, not a curated record. The transcript is spliced from 2 exons.